GGAGAAGAGGACGAAAGUGGUAAGGCAUCGGUUUUUGGUAUCGGCAUGCAAAGGUUCAAAUCCUUUUACUCCA
Non-coding RNA from Populus trichocarpa (black cottonwood), 73 nucleotides. The record is from Rfam. Lineage: Eukaryota; Viridiplantae; Streptophyta; Magnoliopsida; Malpighiales; Salicaceae.